RNAcentral lists this transfer RNA (67 nucleotides) under Harpalus sp. Its description in RNAcentral is "tRNA-Arg". Lineage: Eukaryota; Metazoa; Arthropoda; Insecta; Coleoptera; Carabidae. The record is from RNAcentral.
AAAUAAGAAGUAAAAUUUUACAUUUAGUUUCGACCUAAAAUUUUGGUAAUUUAAUUACCCUUAUUUA